Molecule: long non-coding RNA, 888 nt
Organism: Alnus glutinosa
Lineage: Eukaryota; Viridiplantae; Streptophyta; Magnoliopsida; Fagales; Betulaceae
Exons: 4
Source: RefSeq, a predicted model, not a curated record
GUCAUCUCUCUCCUCUCUCUCUCUCUCUCGAGCAGCAUGGGGGGAAAACAUUUCCCCCAAAUAUUUUCGUCCUCUCUCUCCUCUCUCUCUCUCUACUCGCCGUUGAAGUUACCAGCGAGUCUCCCUCUCUCUCGCCGUUAAGCUAGAUCGGCGCCGGCUUUCGCAGUUGGGGGGAAAACAUUUCCCCCAAAUAUUUUCGUCCUCUCUCUCCUCGCUCUCUCUCUCGCUUGCUCGCCGGCCGUCCCACUCGCCGUUAAGCUAGAUCGGCGCCGGCUUUCGGAGUUCAGGCGCAUCGGCGGCGUGGUUUUCUGUUCGGCGGCCGGACACCUCCACCGGAAUCGUCAAAUAUCCUUAAAGAACCGAUUGGAAUCGUCAAAUAUCCUUAAAGAACCGAUUUUGAUUUGCCUUUGCAAGUUCAUAGCAUCUGCACCCACAUUGUUACCACCAGAGUAUGUCCAAGAAUUUCAGAACUGUUUUGAUAGAGCUCCUGCAGCUCCUUUUGAAGACAUUCAAAGCAUUUUGCAUUUUGAAUAUGUUGACUUGACUCCUAUUGCUUCAGCCUCGAUAGCAUAGGUUCUUGGUGCAAGGCUUAGAGGCUCCCAAGAGGAUAUAUUGGUGGCAGAUCUGAAUUUUGUUUACAUUGUUGCUCGCAUAUUGGAGUUUUUGAAUCCUGAAUUCAGCCAUCCAAGUGAAGAUGAACCAAAGUUAAAACUUAAACAAAGAUCAAGGCAAAGUUGCAAUGUAUUUUGUUGUGUUUCAGCACUGUUUUGUGCUUCUUCUUUUUUUUUUUUUCCCCUUUUUGUUCUUGUAAUUUUUCAUCUGUAAGGAAGGCAGCAAGGAGCCCAAAAUUAAUUGCAAGUAGACAGAUGUGAAUAUGUUUAAGAUGAA